This 497-nucleotide ribosomal RNA is filed under the name uncultured bacterium. Its description in RNAcentral is "partial 16S ribosomal RNA". It matches the Rfam family "Bacterial small subunit ribosomal RNA", at positions 28 to 507 of the family's 1533-position model. The record is from RNAcentral.
GAUGAACGCUGGCGGCGUGCCUAAUACAUGCAAGUCGAGCGAACGGACGAGAAGCUUGUUUCUCUGAUGUUAGCGGCGGACGGGUGAGUAACGCGUGGAUAACCUACCUAUAGGACGGGGAUAACUUCGGGAAACCGGUGCUAAUACCGGAUAAUAUUUUGAACCGCAUGGUUCAAGAGUGAAAGACGCUCUUGCUGUCCCUAAUAGAUGGAUCCGCGUUGCAUUAGUUAGUUGGUAAGGUAACGGCUCACCAAGGCAACGAUGCAUAGCCGACCUGAGAGGGUGACCGGCCACACUGGAACUGAGACACGGUCCAGACUCCUACGGGAGGCAGCAGUGGGGAAUAUUGGGCAAUGGGCGAAAGCCUGACGGAGCAAGGCCGCGUGAGUGAGGAAGGUCUUCGGAUCGUAAACCCCUGUUGUUGGGGAAGAAGAUAGGGAGAAGUAAAUGCGCAUAUCUUGACGGUACCUAACCAGAAAGCCACGGCUAACUACGUG